UUGAUUUGAAAUGGAUUUGAAGUUUUACCUUUAUUUGUUUAUUUUAAUUCAAGUAUUAUUUUUAAUUCAAAAAAUACCAAAAAUAUUUUAUUUGUUUCUUACUUCUAAGCUUCAUCUUACUUCUGUUUACCAUUGAUUGACUUUGAUUCCAUUCAUGAUUGAUCAAUGUGUGUUGGUUAUGUUAUUUGAAUUCCAUUUAUGUACAUUUCCAUUUCUUC
RNAcentral lists this long non-coding RNA (218 nucleotides) under Lathyrus oleraceus (garden pea). RNAcentral's name for it is "Pisum sativum (pea) long non-coding RNA (PSAT_LNC021610)". The record is from RNAcentral. Lineage: Eukaryota; Viridiplantae; Streptophyta; Magnoliopsida; Fabales; Fabaceae.